GUUCACGACGUUCGCUUCGAUCGUUGGAGUCGCCGCGAUCUGGAUCGUCGGAAUCGGCGUUACCUGCAACUCGUGAUCGACCAGUAGCUACUGGAACAUCGGGAACUUCAUGGUGUGGUUGAAUCUCGUCGUGAUAGAUAUUGAGAACGGCUGGAAUUCCGUUCCUAGGCCUCCUAGUGAGAUUAGGAUGAGUUACGAG
RNAcentral lists this long non-coding RNA (199 nucleotides) under Zostera marina. Its description in RNAcentral is "long non-coding RNA (ZMAR_LNC002147)". The record is from RNAcentral. Lineage: Eukaryota; Viridiplantae; Streptophyta; Magnoliopsida; Alismatales; Zosteraceae.